This 446-nucleotide ribosomal RNA is filed under the name uncultured bacterium. Its description in RNAcentral is "partial 16S ribosomal RNA". It matches the Rfam family "Bacterial small subunit ribosomal RNA", at positions 338 to 795 of the family's 1533-position model. The record is from RNAcentral.
CCUACGGGCGGCAGCAGUCGAGAAUCAUUCACAAUGGGGGAAACCCUGAUGGUGCGACGCCGCGUGGGGGAAUGAAGGUCUUCGGAUUGUAAACCCCUGUCAUGUGGGAGCAAAUUAAAAAGAUAGUACCACAAGAGGAAGAGACGGCUAACCCUGUGCCAGCAGCCGCGGUAAUACAGAGGUCUCAAGCGGUGUUCGGAAUCACUGGGCGUAAAGGGUGCGUAGGCUGUUUCGUAAGUCGGGUGUGAAAGGCGCGGGCUCAACCCGCGGACGGCACAUGAUACUGGGAGACUAGAGUAAUGGAGGGGGAACCGGAAUGCUCGGUGUAGCAGUGAAAUGCGUAGAUAUCGAGAGGAACACUCGUGGCGAAGGCGGGUUCCUGGACAUUAACUGACGCUGAGGCACGAAGGCCAGGGGAGCGAAAGGGAUUAGAUACCCGAGUAGUC